RNAcentral lists this ribosomal RNA (429 nucleotides) under Gemmatimonadota bacterium. RNAcentral's name for it is "Gemmatimonadetes bacterium partial 16S ribosomal RNA". It matches the Rfam family "Bacterial small subunit ribosomal RNA", at positions 355 to 776 of the family's 1533-position model. The record is from RNAcentral. Lineage: Bacteria; Pseudomonadati; Gemmatimonadota.
UAGGGAAUCUUCGGCAAUGGACGAAAGUCUGACCGAGCAACGCCGCGUGAGUGAAGAAGGUUUUCGGAUCGUAAAACUCUGUUGUUAGAGAAGAACAAGGACGUUAGUAACUGAACGUCCCCUGACGGUAUCUAACCAGAAAGCCACGGCUAACUACGUGCCAGCAGCCGCGGUAAUACGUAGGUGGCAAGCGUUGUCCGGAUUUAUUGGGCGUAAAGCGAGCGCAGGCGGUUUCUUAAGUCUGAUGUGAAAGCCCCCGGCUCAACCGGGGAGGGUCAUUGGAAACUGGGAGACUGGAGUGGAGAAGAGGAGAGUGGAAUUCCAUGUGUAGCGGUGAAAUGCGUAGAGAUAUGGAGGAACACCAGUGGCGAAGGCGGCUCUCUGGUCUGUAACUGACGCUGAGGCUCGAAAGCGUGGGGAGCAAACAGG